RNAcentral lists this ribosomal RNA (280 nucleotides) under uncultured archaeon. Its description in RNAcentral is "partial 16S rRNA". It matches the Rfam family "Archaeal small subunit ribosomal RNA", at positions 1047 to 1323 of the family's 1478-position model. The record is from RNAcentral.
GAGACCCACGUCAUUAUUUGCAACCAGUCCUCUUCGGAGGGUUGGGCACAAUAAUGAGACCGCCUCGGGCAACGGGGAGGAAGGUGUGGGCAACGGUAGGUCCGUAUGCCCCUAAUCCCCUGGGCUACACGCGCGAUUCAAUGGUUGGAACAAUGGGCUGCAACUCCGAAAGGAGAAGCCGAUCCCCUAAAUCCAAUCUUGGUUUGAAUCGAGGGUUGGAACUCACCCUCGUGAAAGCGAAAUCCCUAGUAAUCGCGUCUCACAAAGUUGCGAUGAAUGU